Molecule: ribosomal RNA, 253 nt
Filed under: uncultured bacterium
Lineage: Bacteria
Description: partial 16S ribosomal RNA
Rfam family: Bacterial small subunit ribosomal RNA
Source: RNAcentral
UACAUGUGGGGCAAGCGUUGUUCGGAAUUACUGGGCCUAAAGGGUGCGUAGGCGGCUUGUUAAGUCAGGGGUGAAAGUUUUCGGCCCAACCGGAAAAUGGCCUUUGAUACUGGCGAGCUUGAGUGCGUGAGGGGUAACCGGAACGAGUCGUGUAGCGGUGAAAUGCGUAGAUAUGACUCGGAAGGCCAAAGGCGAAGGCAGGUUACUGGUACGCAACUGACGCUGAGGCACGAAAGCGUGGGGAGCAAACAGG